RNAcentral lists this ribosomal RNA (777 nucleotides) under uncultured Neocallimastigales. RNAcentral's name for it is "partial large subunit ribosomal RNA". It matches the Rfam family "Eukaryotic large subunit ribosomal RNA", at positions 24 to 629 of the family's 3401-position model. Lineage: Eukaryota; Fungi; Neocallimastigomycota; Neocallimastigomycetes; Neocallimastigales. The record is from RNAcentral.
UAUCUCUGUAGAGUCUGCAUAUCAAUAAGCGGAGGAAAAGAAACUAACUAGGAUUCCCUCAGUAACGGCGAGUGAAGCGGGAAGAGCUCAAAUUUGAAAUCUUCAAGGUUCUACCUUGACGAAUUGUAGUUUAAAGAAGUGUUUUCUGUUGGAGUUUUGGUAAAAGUUCUUUGGAAUAGGACAUCAUAGAGGGUGAGAAUCCCGUAUUUGACCAUUAUUUCCAGCUUUGUGAUACACUUUCAAAGAGUCGGAUUGUUUGGGAAUGCAGUCCAAAAUGGGUGGUAAAUUUCAUCUAAAGCUAAAUACUUGGCGAGAGACCGAUAGCGAACAAGUACCGUGAGGGAAAGAUGAAAAGAACUUUGAAAAGAGAGUUAAACAGUACGUGAAAUUGUCAAAAGGGAAGCGUUUGACACCAGUGUUGUUUUCUCGAAAAUCAAUUAAAAAAGGCAGGAUUUUGUGUUGUAUUGACUUUAUCAGCUUUCUGCACUCUUUUCUUGUCUUUUUUUAAUGCACUUUUCGUUUAACAAGUCAACAUCAAUUUCUUUUGUUGUAAAAGGGUCAUUGGAAGGUGGCUUUCUUUUCGGAGAAAGUGUUUAUAGCCUUUGGCCUCUGCAAUCGGAGAGAUUGAGGUCUGCAGCGUAGAUCCUUCUGGAUUAGAUACAUUUGUGCUAAGUUAUAGCCUUUCAUAGACAACUUGUUGACUAUGAUCAGUCAUGUAGCUUACUCGCUUAUGCUAUUUUACCUAGCGCUUAGGAUGUUGAUAGUCACAGCGUGUAC